UACGUAGGGUGCGAGCGUUAUCCGGAUUUAUUGGGUUUAAAGGAUGCGUAGGCGGCCUGUUAAGUCAGGGGUGAAAGACGGUAGCUCAACUAUCGCAGUGCCCUUGAUACUGAUGGGCUUGAAUGGACUAGAGGUAGGCGGAAUGAGACAAGUAGCGGUGAAAUGCAUAGAUAUGUCACAGAACACCGAUUGCGAAGGCAGCUUACUAUGGUUUUAUUGACGCUGAGGCACGAAAGCUAGGGGAGCAAACAGG
This 253-nucleotide ribosomal RNA is filed under the name uncultured bacterium. RNAcentral's name for it is "partial 16S ribosomal RNA". It matches the Rfam family "Bacterial small subunit ribosomal RNA", at positions 524 to 776 of the family's 1533-position model. The record is from RNAcentral.